RNAcentral lists this ribosomal RNA (433 nucleotides) under uncultured bacterium. RNAcentral describes it as "bacterial SSU rRNA". It matches the Rfam family "Bacterial small subunit ribosomal RNA", at positions 29 to 506 of the family's 1533-position model. The record is from RNAcentral.
GCGAACGCUGGCGGCAGGCCUAACACAUGCAAGUCGAGCGCCCGUAGCGAUACGGGAGCGGCAGACGGGUGAGUAACACGUGGGAACGUACCCUUCGGUUCGGAAUAACCCAGGGAAACUUGGAUUAAUACCGGAUACGUCCGUAAGGAGAAAGAUUUAUCGCCGAAGGAUCGGCCCGCGUCCGAUUAGCUUGUUGGUGGGGUAAUGGCCCACCAAGGCUACGAUCGGUAGCUGGUCUGAGAGGAUGAUCAGCCACACUGGGACUGAGACACGGCCCAGACUCCUACGGGAGGCAGCAGUGGGGAAUAUUGGACAAUGGGCGCAAGCCUGAUCCAGCCAUGCCGCGUGAGUGAUGAAGGCCCUAGGGUUGUAAAGCUCUUUCGGCGGGGAAGAUAAUGACGGUACCCGCAGAAGAAGCCCCGGCUAACUUCGU